AGAGUUUGAUCCUGGCUCAGGAUAAACGCUGGCGGCGUGCCUAACACAUGCAAGUCGAACGCCCUGCGCAAGCAGGGAGUGGCGGACGGGUGAGGAACACGUGGGUUAUCUACCUUCUGGUGAGGAAUACCGGCGAGAAAUCGCCGACAAUACCGCAUACGCUCCGUUAAGGAGCAAAGCUCGCAAGGGCGCCGGAAGAUGAGCCUGCGGCCGAUUAGUUGGUUGGUGGGGUAAUGGCCUACCAAGGCUGCGAUCGGUAGCUGGUCUGAGAGGACGAUCAGCCACACUGGGAUUGAGAACGGCCCAGACUCCUACGGGGGGCAGCAGUGAGGAAUUUUCGUCAAUGGGGGCAACCCUGAACGAGCAACGCCGCGUGCAGGAAGACGGUCUUCGGAUUGUAAACUGCUUUUCUCUGGGACGAGCAAGGACGGUACCAGAGGAAUCAGCCUCGGCUAACUACGUGCCAGCAGCCGCGGUAAUACGUAGGAGGCAAGCGUUGUCCGGAGUUACUGGGCGUAAAGCGCACGCAGGCGGUCCUGUCAGUCUGGGGUGACAGUUCCCGGCUUAACCGGGGAAGUGCUCUGGAAACUGCAGGACUUGAGGGCUUCAGAGGGAUGUGGAAUUCCAGGUGGAGUGGUGAAAUGCGUAGAGAUCUGGAAGAACACCAAAGGCGAAGGCAGCAUCCUGGGAAGCAACUGACGCUCGGGUGCGAAAGCCAGGGGAGCGAACGGGAUUAGAUACCCCGGUAGUCCUGGCCGUAAACGAUGACCACUAGACGUGGGGGGUAUCGACCCCCUCCGUGUCGAAGUUAACACAUGAAGUGGUCCGCCUGGGGAGUACGGUCGCAAGAUUAAAACUUAAAGGAAUUGACGG
This 873-nucleotide ribosomal RNA is filed under the name uncultured bacterium. RNAcentral describes it as "bacterial SSU rRNA". It matches the Rfam family "Bacterial small subunit ribosomal RNA", at positions 8 to 916 of the family's 1533-position model. The record is from RNAcentral.